This is a long non-coding RNA of Actinia tenebrosa (Australian red waratah sea anemone), 308 nucleotides long. The record is from RefSeq and is a predicted model, not a curated record. NCBI's taxonomy places the organism in Eukaryota, Metazoa, Cnidaria, Anthozoa, Actiniaria, Actiniidae.
GGCGGAUUCGAAGGUUUGGGUGAAAUUUGGCGAAAAUAUCACAGAAUUCAGCUGUUUUAAAGACUUAAAGAUGUGGAAGUGGGCAUCCAUCAUAUUAGGACAACAGCAAAACAAGAAAUAUACCUUUUAUAUGCAGAGAACAGCUGUAAUUUUACUUGCAGGCGAUUAAUGAGUUUUUAAGAGUUAAAUAUUUGAAAGUGGAAUCCAUCAUACACAGUAUAGAACUUUUAUAGCAAAACAAAGUUCCAUGCCUUUCAUAUGCAAAGAGGACAGCUGUAAUUUUACUUACUGGAGUUUAGUGAGUAAUU